AACGUAGGGGGCAAGCGUUGCCCGGAUUCACUGGGCGUAAAGCGGGUGUAGGCGGUCUUCUAAGUCGGAUGUGAAAUCCUGCGGCUCAACCGCGGAACUGCAUCCGAUACUGGUCGACUUGAGGACGGUAGAGGUCGGUGGAAUUCCGGGUGUACCGGUGAAAUGGGCAGAUAUCCGGAGGAACACCAGUGGCGAAGGCGGCCGACUGGGCCGAUCCUGACGCUGAGACCCGAAAGCUAGGGUAGCGAACCGG
RNAcentral lists this ribosomal RNA (253 nucleotides) under uncultured bacterium. Its description in RNAcentral is "partial 16S ribosomal RNA". It matches the Rfam family "Bacterial small subunit ribosomal RNA", at positions 524 to 776 of the family's 1533-position model. The record is from RNAcentral.